This 198-nucleotide ribosomal RNA is filed under the name Triticum aestivum (bread wheat). RNAcentral describes it as "partial small subunit ribosomal RNA". The record is from RNAcentral. Lineage: Eukaryota; Viridiplantae; Streptophyta; Magnoliopsida; Poales; Poaceae.
AUGGAGUUCUGUGAUCUCCAUGCUUUCAAUUUGGCAAUGUUAGCAAAACAAGUGUGGAGGUUAAUCACAAACCCCAAUACUUUGUGUGCGAGAGUUCUGAAAGCUAAGUACUUUCCCAACGGAGAUUUAUUGUCAGCAGGUCCAAAAAAGGGUUCCUCCUUUACUUGGCAGAGUAUUGUUGCAGGGAUACAGACUUUU